AAUAGCUAAUUCCUCACACCUUCGCUGGAGAGCUCUUUCAUCAACUCUGUGAGGCUCUAUUUAAGGGACCUCGUCACUCAGCCCCGUGCCGGGACUGUGUGCUCCGAUGUCACCCCCCACAAGGUGUGCUGCAGAUCGGCCCGACCUUGGGCUCCCGCCCGGCCCUGAGGAGCACAGCGAGCCCUUUUGGUGGCCGUGCCGUUGGUACCGCAUCUGCAUUGACGGGCUUCGGGGAGAGCGGCAACAUCGUGGUCUUGCAACACGCCAAAGCAGCUAUAAAAUACAACCAAAUGACGGGCCAAUGGCAAAGCCACGUCAGAUGGUCGUUGUGAGCAUCAGCACUUCUGGGAAACGCAUGACUGCUAAACCAGCGCUAUAAUGAAUCUGUGCGGAUUCAAAAAGCUCGCAAGGGUUUUGCAGCACUGCUAGGAGUUAGGAAUAGCAGGCCAUUCCUGCUUUUUUUGAGAGAGGCAGAGACCGCAAGCACAAAGGUACCCCGAGAGCGCAUCAACUUCGCCAUACGGCCCCGCUACGCACCGCGGCGGAGCAGAGUUUACCGGGGCAUUUCCAGCCGCACCGCGCUGGAGACGACAGAGCCGCACACGGGGGAGCGGGGCCGGGUCGCUCCGCGGCACCGCUUCACGGAUUACAUAACCGCGGCCGCUCCGGAUGCUCCAGUUUCGCCCCGGUCCGUGCCGCCCGCAGCUCCCGCUGCCUCACCCAAACCCGGCUCCCGCUCUGGGCCCGCCGCCGCGCCCCGGCUCUCUCCCACCCCUCCGCCCGUUCGGACGGCUCUCUCCGGGCCCGGCACCGCCGAGCCCCGAUGCCCGCAGCGCGCCGCGGUCUGCCCCCGCCCCGCCGCUCGGCACCCACCUCCUCGUCGGCAUCCGCGGCGCAUCCCCGCUGCGGCCCGGCCGGCUGCACCCCGCCGUUCCCGCUGCCUCGCUCCCUCCCGCCCGCCGCAGCUCCCCGCCCGUCUGACGGAGGGGGCGGGCAGCCGCGCCGCCGCCGCAGCCCCGCCGCGCCGUCCCCCGCCCCCGCCCGCCGCCAAGGUGCCCUCCUCGCACCCACCUACCGCGGGGGCGAGGGGCCCGGCAGGAGAGGAUGGGAGGCCUCGGGGAACGGCGCGGAGCGAAUCGCGGAGUCACGAAGCGGGGCUGCGGCGGGCAGCGAGCAUCGGGGCUGCGGCCGCGGUCAGAUCCACCGUUACAGCCCUCGUGACAGCCGUGACUCCCCCGUCCCACCUCGGCGGGCAGGAAGCCAGGCUGCUCACGCACAGCUGCAGCUGAGAGCCACAGGUCGCCUCAACGGGCCGGGAUGCGUGUGUAUUCAUGAAAAGAGAUCAAAAGACCUGGCGAUGGAAAUGCUGGUGGUCCUGAGGGACACACAGCUAAUGAUCAGGCAGCAGGUUUAA
Molecule: long non-coding RNA, 1414 nt
Filed under: Phasianus colchicus (ring-necked pheasant)
Lineage: Eukaryota; Metazoa; Chordata; Aves; Galliformes; Phasianidae
Description: lncRNA (ENSPCLG00000012674.1)
Source: RNAcentral